GACGAACGCUGGCGGCGUGCUUAAUACAUGCAAGUCGAACGGAAAGGCCCUGCUUUUGUUGGGUGCUCGAGUGGCGAACGGGUGAGUAACACGUGAGUAACCUGCCCUUGACUUUGGGAUAACUUUAGGAAACUGGGGCUAAUACCGGAUAGGAGCUCCUGCUGCAUGGUGGGGGUUGGAAAGGUUCGGCGGUUGGGGUUGGACUCGCGGCUUAUCAGCUUGUUGGUGAGGUAGUGGAUUACCAAGGCUUUGACGGGUAGCCGGCCUGAGAGGGUGACCGGCCACAUUGGGACUGAGAUAGGGACCAGACUGCUACGGGAGGCAGCGGUGGGAAAUAUUGCACAAUGGGCGGAAGCCUGAUGCAACGACGCCGCGUGCGGGAUGACGGCCUUCGGGUUGUAAACAGCUUUCGCCUGUAACGAAGAGUGAGUGACGGUAACGGAUAAGAAAGCACCGGCUAACUACGUG
Molecule: ribosomal RNA, 468 nt
Filed under: uncultured bacterium
Lineage: Bacteria
Description: partial 16S ribosomal RNA
Rfam family: Bacterial small subunit ribosomal RNA
Source: RNAcentral